Molecule: ribosomal RNA, 253 nt
Filed under: uncultured bacterium
Lineage: Bacteria
Description: partial 16S ribosomal RNA
Rfam family: Bacterial small subunit ribosomal RNA
Source: RNAcentral
GACGUAGGGUGCAAGCGUUGUCCGGAUUUAUUGGGCGUAAAGAGCUCGUAGGCGGUUUGUCGCGUCUGCUGUGAAAACCUCAGGCUCAACCUGGGGCUUGCAGUGGGUACGGGCAGACUAGAGUGCGGUAGGGGUGACUGGAAUUCCUGGUGUAGCGGUGGAAUGCGCAGAUAUCAGGAGGAACACCGAUGGCGAAGGCAGGUCACUGGGCCGCAACUGACGCUGAGGAGCGAAAGCAUGGGGAGCGAACAGG